CUCAAAAAUCCAGUAUACAUGAGUUCUCUUUAAAUCUCAACAGAGCAGCACUAUAGUCAUAAAGGCAGUCGCAGUAUAUUUCGGCUAUGAGUGAAACGCAUGGCGGCGGUCUCAGCCGUGAGCAGUUCCCCCGCCGAACACGACUCCAGCUCGGGCACGAGAACCAGCGCGGCGCGGCGCGGCGCGGCGCAGUUACGGUGGAAAUUACUUCUGUUUAACGUUUAAUUUUUACUUUGAAUGUUUGUUAAGCGAGUUUAAAUAUGGGGAAUAUCUAUAGCCUAUUAAAACGAUAUAAAUAAUGCUGUAAAUGAUACAUAAAGGAAAUUAAAGGAAGUUAUCAUGCAACCAGUGGUUGUGUGGAGUAGGCUAUGUUAGAAAAAAAUAGAGGAUUUAAAUUAAUCUGUAAACAUUAUUUAAUGUAUGAAGUAAAAAAAAAAAAAAAAAAAAAAAAA
Molecule: long non-coding RNA, 452 nt
Organism: Cyprinus carpio (common carp)
Lineage: Eukaryota; Metazoa; Chordata; Actinopteri; Cypriniformes; Cyprinidae
Exons: 2
Source: RefSeq, a predicted model, not a curated record